Molecule: unclassified non-coding RNA, 267 nt
Filed under: plant metagenome
Description: partial contains small subunit ribosomal RNA, internal transcribed spacer 1, and 5.8S ribosomal RNA
Source: RNAcentral
UUUCCGUAGGUGAACCUGCGGAAGGAUCAUUAUCGUACAAAAUGUGAGGGGCAUGCGAGGGCUGUCGCUGACCCAAAAGUCGUGCACGCCCGAGUGUGUCCUCUUGCAUAAUAAUCCAUCUCACCCUUUGUGCAUCACCGCGUGGGCACCCUUCGGGAUCAUCUCGGAGGGGGGCUCGCGCUUUCACACAAACCCCCCUUUUAAAGGUGUAGAAUGACCACAUUUAUGCAAUCAAUACAACUUUCAACAACGGAUCUCUUGGCUCUC